AGCUAUUUGUGUUGGGUCUGGGUGGCACCAGAAUGCCAAGUGCCUUGCAGAGGAGAAUGUUUGGGUGGCUGGUGUCCAGUGGUGACCAGGUGGAGCGUCUCAAUUAUCUGGCUAAACAUGGAGCUUCAGGAAGAAGUUCCAGAUCUCCAGACUUGAAUAAGAAUAAGGUGCAAAUCCCAUCUUUCAAAUCUUUCCCACUCUCAGAAGAGUCAAAAUGUGCCUUUUCUGCAAGCAGUCCGGAGCUAGGCACUUUGCAUACGCUUUGUUACAAUGUUGCAUCAAUCUCGCCUGGCUGAAUCACGGUGUUUUCCUAAGGGUAAAGGGCCCCGUGAGUGCUGGGAGGCCUUUGGCAUCUGGUUUUCGUCAGGCAGCAGGUAAAAGUGCAGAUGGCGGGUCUGAUCGUGCUUUAAAAAAAGCAGAGUUAGAAACGUGGGAAAGGCAUUUGAGAGGCACCUCUUACUCUGUGUGUGAUCUCCCGUGCAUCCUGUUUCCUUCUGUAACCAAACACCUCAACUCCUAAUACCCAGAGGAAAACCCUUCAGACUUGGGAGACAGCCGGCAUUGCUGGCACUGGCCUCUCUGGAGCUUUUCUCGAUAAGUUUGAAAAUUUAAAGACAGUGGUGGCACUGUUUCUCUGUUGAAUGGAGAGUUGACAUUCUUAUUUUUCCUUCCUCUUCUGCAAAACUGGGGUGUCAUCAGAUCAGUGUUUGCUGCUGCUGUUGCGUUCUUGGGUAGCCACUCUUUUUUUUUUUUUUUUUCAGAGGGAGUCUUGCUCUGUCGCCCAGGCUGGAGUGCAGUGGCCCAAUCUCAGCUUAUCGCAACCUCUGCCUCCCAGGUUCAAGCGAUUCUCGUGCCUCAGCCUCCCGAGUAACUAGGAUUACAGGCGUGUGCCAUCACACCCGGCUAAUUUUUGUAUUUGUAGUAGAGACGGGGUUUCAUCAUGUUGGCCAGGCUGGUCUUGAACUCCUGACCUCAGGUGAUCCGCCCGCCUUGGCCUCCCAAAGUGCUUGGAUUACAGGCUUGAGCCACCGUGCCCAGUCAGCCACUCUUAUUUUACACACUGCUUCUGGCUGAUAGGCCUACAAGGUCUAAGCUUAAUCCCAGGAAAAGUGCUACCCGAAUGGUCUGUCAGUCAGCCUUUUGUUUGUUUGUCUCGUUCCGGUCAUCCUUGCCUCUGUCCACCCAGACAACAUUCAAUCAACAUUUGUUAUGGAGCCAGCAGUAUGAUUUUGCAAGUUACUUUUCUAAACUCUCAUUUCCUCAUCUGUAAAAUAAUAGGAGAUACUCAUUAGGGUGAUUCUAAGAGUUAAAUGGAAACAUCUGAGGAAAGCACUUAGCAUCGGUCUGGCACAUAGUAAGUGCUCAGUAAAUGAUGGUUGUCAUUAUUGUUGAGCAGAGCCAGGGGUUGCCACCCCGGUCAGCUGAUUGGCUGUAGACAUGGUGUGACCAUAUGGAGCUGGGAUUUGGGCCACACUCAGCACAUAGUUGUGAUCCAUAAAUGCACAACCUUUGGACCCCAUUGUCACCUCCCUUGGAAUAUCUUGGUGUUCUUGUUUCAGUCUGAUAAGGCCAUUGUAGCUGGGUUCUAGGUAUCUCUGAGCAUGGAGCACUCACGCCAGCCUCAGACAUCGCUGUCAAGGGCAUCAGCAGCAGUGAGGUGAUUCCUCAGCCGGUCAUUUGGGCAUCGCUGCCUGGGUCUCUCCUGAGCUUCAGCUCAUCUUUUUUGUCACCUGCCAUACCUUUGCCUCUAAGUGUCCCCCAGUUUUUAUUGCUGCCCUCUCCAUCCGCACCAGUGCCUCUCUCUGCCAGUUCCACUGUUCUCUCGCCUGCUCUUUAGGAUUUCCUUUGUUUUGCCUCCUUGCCUGGUGCUUUCAGCGAGCAGCGCUGACGUCAUCUCAGGAACCGUGCUGCGUCUGAGAGAAGAACCUGCAGUAGCUGUUUAAGUGUGCGGUGCUGGCAGAGUACCUCCCUGAAGGUGUCCUGGGGAAAGGAUUGGAGGAUCUGCCGCGUGUCAAAGCCCUUUCUACACCUGUGACAACACAAGAUGUGCCCGUAGACACCUUUCUGAACAUGGGUGUGGCAGAAGGCCAAGCUCACACCCAGAAAGCCACCUGCCCUUCUGCUCCUUAUCCUUGUCAGUCGCUGUGCCUGCAUCCCCAGGAGGACCUCACGGGACUGGGAGGGCCUGGGACAGGCUGGCCUCAGAUCACCAGGCAUUGAGACCUCCUGCUAGCCUCAGGCUGACAGUAAUAAAUGUACAAAAGAGGACAGAGCUGCUGAGGAGCGGCUGGGAGUCCAGACACAAAGGACUGUCGGAGGAGUGAGUCAGGGCCUCUGAAGGUCACUUGAGGAGUGUCCGCCCUGAAUCAUUGACCUGCGGCAUGAAUGGAGA
RNAcentral lists this long non-coding RNA (2392 nucleotides) under Homo sapiens (human). Its description in RNAcentral is "HSALNT0275574". Lineage: Eukaryota; Metazoa; Chordata; Mammalia; Primates; Hominidae. The record is from RNAcentral.